This 211-nucleotide long non-coding RNA is filed under the name Gossypium barbadense (sea-island cotton). RNAcentral describes it as "long non-coding RNA (GBAR_LNC002099)". Lineage: Eukaryota; Viridiplantae; Streptophyta; Magnoliopsida; Malvales; Malvaceae. The record is from RNAcentral.
UUGCUUUUAUUUCCUAAUUUUAUGCGUACAUUCCCUAGACAUAGAUGAGUGUGCAGUAUGCCCAUAAACUAAAUCUAAUUCUGAAAAGGUUAGAUUAUUUGGAUGACUCCAGACAUAGAGCAGCGUUGGUAACAACCCUCACCUGUACCCAACGUCAGGACAAGGUUCGAGGUGCUACCGGGCUUACACAUUCACAAACACACUAAAUCGG